This 468-nucleotide ribosomal RNA is filed under the name uncultured bacterium. RNAcentral's name for it is "partial 16S ribosomal RNA". It matches the Rfam family "Bacterial small subunit ribosomal RNA", at positions 28 to 507 of the family's 1533-position model. The record is from RNAcentral.
GACGAACGCUGGCGGCGUGCUUAACACAUGCCAGUCGAACGGAAAGGCCCUGCUUUUGUGGGGUGCUCGAGUGGCGAACGGGUGAGUAACACGUGAGUAACCUGCCCUUGACUUUGGGAUAACUUCAGGAAACUGGGGCUAAUACCGGAUAGGAGCUCCUGCUGCAUGGUGAGGGUUGGAAAGUUUCGGCGGUUGGGGAUGGACUCGCGGCUUAUCAGCUUGUUGGUGGGGUAGUGGCUUACCAAGGCUUUGACGGGUAGCCGGCCCGAGAGGGUGACCGGCCACAAUGGGACUGAGAUACGGCCCAGACGCCUACGGGAGGCAGCAGGGGGGAAUAUUGCACAACGGGCGGAAGCCUGAUGCAGCAACGCCGCGUGCGGGAUGACGGCCUUCGGGUUGUAAACCGCUUUCGCCUGUGACGAAGCGUGAGUGACGGUAAUGGGUAAAGAAGCACCGGCUAACUACGUG